Small nuclear RNA from Cercocebus atys (sooty mangabey), 104 nucleotides. The record is from Ensembl. NCBI's taxonomy places the organism in Eukaryota, Metazoa, Chordata, Mammalia, Primates, Cercopithecidae.
GUGCUCGCUCUAGCAGCACAUAUACUAAAACUGGAAUAACACAGAGAUGAGCACGGCCCUUGCACAAGGAUAACAUGCAAAUUCGUUAUGCAUUCCGUCUUUUU